UCGUGCUAGCUGGGGGGAGUAGCGGCCCCCUGUCCCGAAUUCCGCUUUAGCGGGGGCGAUGCCUACCGGAGGGAGCCUCGCGUUGCCCGUCGUUGGAACCUUGCGACGAAGAAGCCUGGAUCCCCUGCAAGUUGGGGCCGUGAACCUGGUCAGGUGCGAGAGCAAGCAGCCAUAAGCGUAACCUCGGCUGUGCAGGGGGCAAUCUGGGUGGAGCCGCUUGGCCGAAGGCGGAAUCCUCGCGAGAACUAUCGAUGGUAGGUGCACGG
RNAcentral lists this signal recognition particle RNA (266 nucleotides) under Planctomycetota bacterium. RNAcentral describes it as "Planctomycetes bacterium (marine metagenome) signal recognition particle sRNA large type". It matches the Rfam family "Bacterial large signal recognition particle RNA". From Rfam's summary of the family: The signal recognition particle (SRP) is a universally conserved ribonucleoprotein involved in the co-translational targeting of proteins to membranes. Archaeal SRP consists of a 7S RNA and homologues of the eukaryotic SRP19 and SRP54 proteins. In most bacteria, the SRP consists of a 4.5S RNA and the Ffh protein (a homologue of the eukaryotic SRP54 protein). The record is from RNAcentral. Lineage: Bacteria; Pseudomonadati; Planctomycetota.